Molecule: long non-coding RNA, 1551 nt
Organism: Priapulus caudatus
Lineage: Eukaryota; Metazoa; Priapulida; Priapulimorpha; Priapulimorphida; Priapulidae
Exons: 3
Source: RefSeq, a predicted model, not a curated record
UGUGUUGAAGCCGUACACACACGCUCCGAGGCGUAUAUAUACUGCGCUCUCCAGAGAACCGGCAGUCAGUCCGCAGUCAGCCUGCUAGUCAGUCUGUAGCUAGUCAGCCUGCUAGUUAGCCAGUGACUGGCCAGUGGUAGAGACCAGUCAGUAUCAGCCUGGAGCUGAGGGAAGAGCUGCCGCGAGGAGGAUAAACACAACGCAAGGUACAACACUGAGACCUCUACCGACGAUCUCUGCACGGAGUUGUCAUCUUCCUACAGACGAUCGUCUUGGUUGUUGUACCGGUAGAGUUGCACGUGACCACAGCAGUUGAAGCGCGGUUGCAGGAGACGAGCAUUAGCGUUGUCACGCGCCGCGCGCUGUCACUCAUCUUCUCGUCGUAUCGUCGUCCCUUGGUUAUUGUCAACGAAGCCGACCACAUCUAACUGUAGCUGCAGCGUUGGCCUAAAGACAUGGAUUCUCGCAAACCAUGAAUAAGCUAUAUGAGUCGAUGCGAGUCGUCGGCGAUUAUACCUGCCUGACGACGUUUUAGUCGAGCUGUGAGUCGCGCUGUCACUCGCAGGUGCGUUCACCUUCUACACGCUGAGUGCUUGCCGCGGGCGACGCGCAGACCUCGUCUUUCCUCGCGUGACUGAAACCGUUGUUGGCUUCACUGCCUGUGUAGGUGGACUAGUGCGAAGACGCCCACACCCACAUGUCACCUGAUUCGUUAACGUCAUACGGGACGUCGUCGGCAACUUAAUCAUCGUCAACGUCUUGUAUUAUUCAUUGAGUCCACGUGGCGUUCCCUCGACACUAUUCUUUACGUCAGCCCAGCUGCCAGUUGGUCAACAUGCAUGGGUGUCUCAUCGCUCGCCUAUUAUUGCGUGAGGAGUGUAUGGUAUCAUCUAAUAUGAUGUUUACUCAUGAUUACAUUCUACGGAUGCAAGUCUUUGGUUCAUUGUUUCACUAGGCGAUGGGGUUGUUGAGAUAAGGGGCUGUUUUUGUUGCCUCUUUGCACGAUGUAAUAUUUAUCCGUAUAUAAUGUAUGAACCCUCCUGUUUGAAGAGGAAAUGUUUGCCUUCACUUUUUUAUUAAUUCAUGUACGUAUUCCUAGCGUAAACUCUGUGGUAUUCAAACGGGCGUUAUUAAAAACGAUUUUUGUGUGUACAGUGGUAAAUAUUUGUUGCGGUCGCAUUGUUACGUGCGCGCAUCAAACUACGGAUACUAAUUUAUAAUAUAUUUCGUGCGUGUGUUUGUUUACAGAGUUUCGUUGUGUAAUGAAGAAAUCGUUAUCAGGCCCGUGCAUUCUCACCGCUAUAAACAGCUCGACAGGGGAUAGUGUGAUUAUCAUAAUGCGAUAGAACGCGUGGCUAUCAGGUAGAGUUAAUGCGCAUGGUAACUCACGAACAAUACUGGGUUUAUUGGUAGGCAUAGUGUGUGCCACUUUGCCACAUUCCACAUGCAGCGUUGAUGAGCUAGUUGGCUCGUUAGUUCUCAAAAACGAUUUUAACGCGCGAGAUAGUUCCGUUUUAUGUGUUUGCAAAUUGUUCCCUAUUUUAUGUAGUA